GCACCUUCCCCCGAACUGGCGAGUGUGCAUAGCGCAGACGGGAGUCAGUCAGCGGUCAGCGUGCCGGCUGUGUCACAGUCGUGCAGGCUUUCGGAAGCUGUGUUCAGGAGAGCAACAUUCAGGCCCCACGGUGGAAGACGGAAGACAGCAGAUGGAUUCCUAAGAUGUCUCGAUUAUCCCUGAGGUUGGACCUGACCAUCUGCAGCGCACUACUCCAGUAAUGGACGGGCGAAGCUGAUACGCGGCCAUAGGCCCGUCGUCCAUACAAGCGCUGCCUCUCCCACUGUCCACACACCCACCUGAGUUACCGUUGUUACAACCCAUGAACCGGCACAGACACAUCAUUAUCAUCCAGAGUCCACAGUGGAUAUCAUGGUUCACUGCUGGGAUCGUAAGGCCGUUGAAUUUCAACAGAUAUGUAAAGGCCUGGAUCCAGCAUUACAGUUUGUCCUUCCCAGAAUGUCAUCUUCUCGCAGCCCUACAGCAUGUGGUUUGCUCAGAUUCUGGCUUCUUCCAGCGGU
Long non-coding RNA from Hyaena hyaena (striped hyena), 521 nucleotides. RefSeq lists it as uncharacterized. NCBI's taxonomy places the organism in Eukaryota, Metazoa, Chordata, Mammalia, Carnivora, Hyaenidae. The record is from RefSeq and is a predicted model, not a curated record. The transcript is spliced from 4 exons.